This 549-nucleotide ribosomal RNA is filed under the name uncultured bacterium. Its description in RNAcentral is "bacterial SSU rRNA". It matches the Rfam family "Bacterial small subunit ribosomal RNA", at positions 96 to 660 of the family's 1533-position model. The record is from RNAcentral.
UGGCGGACGGGUGAGUAACGCGUGAGUAACCUGCCUCUAAGAGGGGAAUAACAUUCUGAAAAGAAUGCUAAUACCGCAUAACAUAUAUUUAUCGCAUGGUAGAUAUACCAAAGAUUUAUCGCUUAGAGAUGGACUCGCGUCCGAUUAGUUAGUUGGUGAGGUAACGGCUCACCAAGACCGCGAUCGGUAGCCGGACUGAGAGGUUGAACGGCCACAUUGGGACUGAGACACGGCCCAGACUCCUACGGGAGGCAGCAGUGGGGGAUAUUGCGCAAUGGGGGAAACCCUGACGCAGCAACGCCGCGUGAAGGGUGAAGGUCUUCGGAUUGUAAACUUCUUUUAUUAAGGACGAAGAAAGUGACGGUACUUAAUGAAUAAGCUCCGGCUAACUACGUGCCAGCAGCCGCGGUAAUACGUAGGGAGCAAGCGUUGUCCGGAUUUACUGGGUGUAAAGGGUGCGUAGGCGGCUUUGCAAGUCAGAUGUGAAAUCUAUGGGCUCAACCCAUAGCCUGCAUUUGAAACUGCAGAGCUUGAGUGAAGUAGAGGCAG